Molecule: ribosomal RNA, 468 nt
Filed under: uncultured bacterium
Lineage: Bacteria
Description: partial 16S ribosomal RNA
Rfam family: Bacterial small subunit ribosomal RNA
Source: RNAcentral
GACGAACGCUGGCGGCGUGCUUAACACAUGCAAGUCGAACGGAAAGGCCCUGCUUUGGUGGGGUGCUCGAGGGGCGAACGGGUGAGGAACACGUGAGUAACCUGCCCUUGACUUUGGGAUAACUUCAGGAAACUGGGGCUAAUACCGGAUAGGAGCUCCUGCUGCAUGGGGGGGGUUGGACAGUUUCGGCGGUUGGGGAUGGACUCGCGGCUCUUCAGCUUGUUGGUGGGGUAGUGGCUUACCAAGGCUUUGCCAGGUAGCCGGGCUGAGAGGGUGACCGGCCCCGUUAGAUCGGGGCUGCGACCCAGCCUCCUACGGGAGGCGGCGGUGGAGUGUAUUGCACUGUGGGCUGAAGCCUGGUGCGGCAACGCCGCGUGGGGUAUGACGGCAUUCGGUUUGUAUACCGCUUUCGCCUGUGACGAGGCGUGAGUGGCGGUAAUGGGUAAAGAAGCACCGGCUAACUACGUG